CCUACGGGAGGCAGCAGUGGGGAAUAUUGGGCAAUGGACGCAAGUCUGACCCAGCAACGCCGCGUGAGGGAAGAAGGCUUUCGGGUUGUAAACUUCUUUUGUCAGGGAAGAGUAGAAGACGGUACCUGACGAAUAAGCCACGGCUAACUACGUGCCAGCAGCCGCGGUAAUA
Molecule: ribosomal RNA, 172 nt
Filed under: uncultured bacterium
Lineage: Bacteria
Description: partial 16S ribosomal RNA
Rfam family: Bacterial small subunit ribosomal RNA
Source: RNAcentral